UCGAGAAUCUUUCGCAAUGCCCGAAAGGGUGACGAAGCGACGCCGCGUGCGGGAAGAAGGCCUUCGGGUUGUAAACCGCUGUCGGGAGUUAGGAAAUGCAAGGAUGUUAAUAGCAUUCUUGCUUGACUAAGGCUCCGGAGGAAGCCACGGCUAACUCUGUGCCAGCAGCCGCGGUAAUACAGAGGCGGCAAGCGUUGUUCGGAAUUAUUGGGCGUAAAGAGCACGUAGGCGGCUGUGUAAGUCGGUUGUGAAAGCCUUCCGCUUAACGGAAGAACGGCAUCCGAUACUGCAUAGCUUGAGUGCGGGAGGGGAGAGUGGAACUUCUGGUGGAGCGGUGAAAUGCGUAGAUAUCAGAAGGAACACCGGCGGCGAAAGCGACUCUCUAGACCGUAACUGACGCUGAGUGUGCGAAAGCUAGGGGAGCAAACGGGAUUAGAUACCCCGGUAGUCCUAGCCGUAAACGAUGGG
This 468-nucleotide ribosomal RNA is filed under the name uncultured anaerobic ammonium-oxidizing bacterium. RNAcentral describes it as "bacterial SSU rRNA". It matches the Rfam family "Bacterial small subunit ribosomal RNA", at positions 355 to 813 of the family's 1533-position model. The record is from RNAcentral.